RNAcentral lists this ribosomal RNA (253 nucleotides) under uncultured bacterium. Its description in RNAcentral is "partial 16S ribosomal RNA". It matches the Rfam family "Bacterial small subunit ribosomal RNA", at positions 524 to 776 of the family's 1533-position model. The record is from RNAcentral.
UACGGAGGGAGCAAGCGUUACUCGGAAUUAUUGGGCGUAAAGGGCGCGUAGGCGAUUUGAAAAGUCUUGUGUGAAAGCCCCGAGCUUAACUCGGGAAGUGCACAAGAAACUGUUGAAUUUGAGUUCCGGAGAGGAAGGCAGAAUUCCCAGUGUAGCGGUGAAAUGCGUAGAUAUCGGGAGGAAUACCAGUGGCGAAGGCGGCCUUCUGGACGGAUACUGACGCUGAGGCGCGAAAGCCAGGGGAGCAAACGGG